RNAcentral lists this ribosomal RNA (253 nucleotides) under uncultured bacterium. RNAcentral's name for it is "partial 16S ribosomal RNA". It matches the Rfam family "Bacterial small subunit ribosomal RNA", at positions 524 to 776 of the family's 1533-position model. The record is from RNAcentral.
UACGGGGGGGGCAAGCGUUGUUCGGAAUUACUGGGCGUAAAGGGCGCGUAGGCGGCCUGCUAAGUCGGACGUGAAAUCCCUCGGCUCAACCGGGGAACUGCGUCCGAUACUGGUGGGCUCGAAUCCGGGAGAGGGAUGUGGAAUUCCAGGUGUAGCGGUGAAAUGCGUAGAUAUUGGGAGGAACACCAGUGGCGAAGGCGGUCCCCUGGGCCGGAACUGACGCUGAGGCGCGAAAGCGUGGGUAGCAAACGGG